This 6867-nucleotide long non-coding RNA is filed under the name Canis lupus familiaris (dog). RNAcentral's name for it is "lncRNA (ENSCAFG00000053424.1)". The record is from RNAcentral. Lineage: Eukaryota; Metazoa; Chordata; Mammalia; Carnivora; Canidae.
UUUUUUUUUUUUACUUGUCCUAAGUCACUUAAUUCUCACAGUAAUCUUGUUUGAUGCUUAAUUAUUUUUAAGUUUUAUGAGUGAAGAAAGUGAGCCCAGAGAGAUUCAGUAAUAUUGCAAUGGAUUUAUAGCUAGUAAGUAAAAAUGUUAAUACUGCAGCCCUCUACUUUGUUUUCAACAUCUGUAUUUUCCCUCUGUUUUCCUAUUAUUUCUCUUGUCAUUGCAUGAGAUUCUUUCCUCACUAAAUAUGGUUAACAAAAAAUAGAAAAAUAAGUUUCUAACUGGAUAAGCAAAUAUACAUAUAUUUUAAUAUAUGUAGUAUCACUAAUUGUUCAUGCUUUUAGGUUGCAGUCAUUAAAAUUUGAAGAUCAUUUAUUAAAUAAAAACAAUUAUACACUAACACUUUCAAUAAUGCAACAAUACUGGAAAAAGUGACGAUAUGCAUAUUAAUGGCUUUUACUGAGUACUCAUACAAUUACUUUCAUAAUAACAUGAAAGCAAUCGAAUCCUGUGCUAUAGUCAUUAUAAAGAUUCCUCAUAAAUCAUUUAGUUUGUUAAAUUAAAGUUGAUAUAAUUCCAUCCCCUGAGAAUGUUUAGAGGUUUAGUUUUAAUGAAAAUGUGCUGAGAAAAAGAUAUCAAGUUUGCUGUUGCAUUGAAUAUUUUAUGAUACCUAUUAUAUGAAUUUUUUAUUAGGAAUAUAUUUUAUUUCACUUUUUUCAAACCUUAAAUAUCAAACAUUAGGAAUAUUUUUAAAAAGCAUUUUAAAAACAUGAAUGAUGUGCAUAUAAUUAAUUUUAUGAACAAACAUUGUUUACUUAAAUUUACUCAGUUGGUUUGACAGUAUUAUUAAGGAAGAGAUAAAUCUAUAACACUUGCUAUUAAAGAUGAGUUAAUUUUUCAUAAUUUAAACAUACUUAUUAGAUGCAUAAAUACAAGGUGACAAAAAAAAUGAAUGGCUUUUGCCUAAACACUGCAUUCUGUUAAUGCAGUAAAACUGAAAAGAAAAACAAAAUUCUGUUAUCACCAGAUGUAUCUUAUUUGAUGAUUUUGGCUAUAACCAAUAGAAACACAAAAUCAAUCUGAUUCAAUUAUGCAUGAUUUAUUGUCUCACAAAACAGGGAUCUUAAAGCUUAGAAGGACUCUAGGUUUAGUUAAGUAGAUAUCACUGAUAACAUAAUUUUCUUCUAGCCCAUCAUUCUUGAUGUCAACACAUUUAAAUACUAAUGAUCUAGACAAUGAAGAGGAAUCAGUCAUCUCUUCCGUGAGUAGCAGAUUCACCCUCUUAUCUUCACAUCUCAUUGGCCUGAUUUGGGUCAAAAAAUCAAUGCUUGGCAAGAGAAAUGGAAUUAUCAUGAGCAAUACAGAUGGUGCACAAUCAUCUAUGUGGAAAACAUGUGGAGAACUAAGUACGAGGCUGAUAACACUGAGCAUACAAACAAUUAAACACACAAAUAGGAGAGAAAUUCAAAAUGGUAAAAUUUGGUAAAAAUGCAUCUUUCAAAAAGGGCACACUUUAUCCAUGUUAUUCUUUGUUUCUUUUCUUUUGUCUUUUUUUCUUUUUUAUUUAUUUAUUUAUUUUUUUAUUCUGUGUUUCAUUUCAUGAUUACUAUUGAAAAUAAUUUAGUUGUCUGAGAAAUGUUAAAAAUUAUUUUUUUUUCUGGGCUUCAAUGUGCUAGACAAACUGUGUCCUAUGCAACUUUUAGUUAAAGUUAUUACCUAACAUUUCACAUCUGAAAUUACUCUUUUCGGCCUAACCAGUGUAUACUUGAUGUUGGAGGUCAAAUGAAUGAUAAACCCCAAGCAGGCAUUUUGAACUUACUUACCUGGUAGUCCCUACCCACAAUUUCCUGUACUAAAGUCCCUGAAUCUUUGCCCUAAAGGCUGAUUUUUCAAAGUAUUGCACUACAGUAUUCCCCAUCCCACCCCCACCCCCGCUUUAGUUUCAAUGGCUAAACCAGUUCCUAAGCAGACUUGCUAAAUGGAAAAAAUAAAUACAAAUAGAGGUAAGAUAGGGGUGGGAGGGGGGAAAAACCCUUAAAAACUGUGAAAUGCUAGAUUUAGGAGCAUGCUAGUAUAUCCAAGGGUAUAUGAAUAUAGAUCUAUAUUUUAAUAAUGAAAUUAGAUAAAAUUCCUAUAUUUUCUUUCUUAACAGAGCAGAGACUUUAUUUGUGAUAUUGUCGGUACUCUUAUUGCAUGUGGCAUUUCAUGUCUUCAGGAUGUCUAAUUGGGGCCUCAUCAUUGUCCUUCCUCUAGAUAACAUCCUGUACUCAGCGGUUUCUUUUGUGGCAUGUGUGAUUAUUUUUCCUCAGUAACCUUUUAUUGACUGCCAGAAAUGUCUAUUAGCUUGAUCUUCUCUUCCUUAUUUAGUUAGCUAUUCCUUUAAAGCAUAAGUCUGGCCAGAUGUAAUGAUAAGCAGGCAGAUGGCUCUAGAGUGAUUCUUCUUUGAUAAGGAAGUAGCUUCCUCUGAAGAUGUGGCUCUACAACUGGCCUGGCCCAAGGCAUAAUAAGUGAGUCUUGAGCUUGCACAGAGUGCUUUUUAGUUCCAUGAAGAUGGAAAAAGAUGAACAUAAACACCGAUAUUUAAGAAUAAACAACCUUCAUUUUCUUUGUGAAUAUUGUAUUCCCUGACGAAAGGGUAUAUAAAUAAAAUAUUUAUAGCUGGAAAAUUGAGUCUCUGUAAAAAAAAUAGAACCUCAUUGUUGACAACUAUCCAAUUAAUACAACUAUAAGAAAAUUGAAAUUAUAGAAGUUAAUGUAUUUUGUUACAGAGUUAAACCAAAUCUGAUCUUAUUGAUGACUUCUACCCAUUGGAUAUACAAUCUACAGCCCACUGUUUGUAUUUUCCUUUUUGAAAGAAUGGUGUGCAUUUGCAUAAUGAAGAAUGUUAGUGUGAUAUUGCUAGAAGUUGUCAAAGGUCAGUACCUGAGUAGUAUCUGCUUUAUUCAGCAUUUGUUACCAUUUUUAUGGAUUUUUGAGUUACAUCAGGACAACACGUAAGACAAUCGUGGAUGUUGAAAGAUGUCCAACAUGUGGUCUUUGAGGAAAUGAAAAUAUAAAUUGUGGUUCAUACUUACUUAAAGGACUUAAUACAAGAACUAGAAUACAUUACCUUGUGUGAAAAUUAAAAUUAUAAAAUUCAGUAGAUUAGAGAUAACUAGGGGCUCUGAAGAAUAGUAAGUGGGCAAUUAUUGCUUAAUGGUUGAGAGUUUCUGCUCAGGGGGAUGAGAAAGUAUUGGAAGUAGAUAGUAACAAUGAUUGUGUAACCCUGUGAAUGUAGUUAAUGCCACCAAAUUGUAUACUUGAAAAUAGUUAAAACAGUAAAUUUUUGUGUCUCAUAUACCUUACCAUAAUAAAAAAUAUAUUCAGAUAAGCACACCAAGGGUAAAGACAAUUUCACGACCAUAUAUUCAAUAAGCACUUUUAAGUCACAGCACAAAUCCCCUAUGGAGUAAACAUUGUUUACUAUAAUAGUGACAUGAAUCAUGUAUAUUUUUCCAUUCUUCUCUGUUGAGGAUGCUAGAUAGGCAAAAUUUAUAAACCAGUGGAGUAAUCCUCUGUCUCUCUCUGUCUCUGUCUCUGUUUCUAUUUCUCUCUCCAGAGUAAAUUCAACAAUACGGUUUAAUAUGUGAUGUACAUAAUUCAUUGUGCUUUUAAUAAUCUCAAAGUUAUUUUAUUAAAAUUAUUCUUUAAGAGCAUAAUUUUCACAUUGCUAAGUCCUUUUCUUGGCAAACUUUCUCCUAACACGUUAGCAAAACUCAAAAUGAAAGAAGUUUGCCACUCUUGCUUAUUUCAGUAUUUUAACUGUUUUCAAUAAUUUGUAUUUUAAAUUUUCUUUAAUACCAAAUGCAUUUUGAAAAACUGUUUUGAAUGUUACUUGCCUAAGGGUAUAAAAUUAUUUUUGUUCCCUGGAAAAAAACUCGUUUUAAUGGAUAAAACAUCAUGAACAAUUAAAUGAAAUAAUGAUGCAUUUCUGUGCUAAAGGGAACAUUUUAAAGAGCUACAAAGUAAAAUACACUUAAUGAUACCCUUAAACGUAUUUUUAAAAACAUCUCAAUUUGAAAUAUGCUACUUAUCUGCCAAUUUUAAGAAAACUCAAGAGAAGAGAAAUUAAUUAGGACUUUAGUGUAUAUCAGAUACUGUUGAAAUACUUCUAAUUUUUAUGGAGAGAAGAUCUAGAUCUUUUGCCCUUAAUAACUAACAAAUCUAUAAAAUCAUAUAGAUAUGGAUGUGAAUCUAUAGCCUGUGUAGUGUAACAAAUAACUGCUAACCUUAAACACUUGUACCCACUGACAUAAGGAAUAUGGCAUCCAUCGCGAAGUGCGCCAUCCUCUCAAGCUUUGAACUGUUACUUUAUAAUGUUAAUUCUUCUGAACGUCAAAGCUCUCACCUCAAAAAAUUCAUAUAUUGAACAAUACUCCAAAUCUGAGAUUUCUUGUGCAAUUUUUUUUCUAGAUGGUUUCUUUUUAAAUGACAUUCACCUAAAAUUUCUCACAAUGAAAUACAAAUAAUUUCGAACUUAGCAGUGUGGUGUUCAGGCUUUGGUCAUACGCCCUAAUGGUGAUGUGGCCAUUGGAAAAGAAUCUGUACAGCUAACUUUGUCUUCUGAAUGCAUACGCUAAUAACACAGCUAGAGCCCCAAAAUAAUUCCAUAGGAAAAUGCACUUAGACACUAGUGGUGAACAGUAACAUUUUGAGAAGGUACAGUAAUUUGAAAAGUUUUGUCCUAAUAUUAGGACCAUGGUUCAGGACAACAUGAUAUCACUAAAUUCUAGAGAUAAGUAUCUUUAAAUCUUUGCUGUAUUUGAAUAUGUGAUAGAGUUGGAUAGAUUUGAUGUGAUUCUUUUAUAAAUAUAAAAUCUUUAGCUCUCAUCCAUCAUGUUUAAACUUAAAGCUCCGCCUUUCUACUUGAGGUCCAUAACAAAAACUGGAUAGGUACAAAUGGCUCCUUAGAAUUUUCCUAGAUUCUGUUUCUUCUCUCAUAUUCUGGGUAACCUUGUAAUACACUCUGUGGUAUAAAACCCAUGGCUGUACGUAAAACAACAUGUAAUGUAAGAAUGAAAGAAUUGGGCAGUUAGCCAUUAGAUGGCAUGAUUUUUCUUUUUCUUGGAAAUAUAUAGAGAAAUAAAAUAUACCAGAUUUUGACAGAACAAUUUUGCCAAAAGAACAAUUCCUAUCAUCCUACUUACAAGACAUCUUUUAAAAAUCACUAGACCUAAGGAAAUAUAUAGAUUUUUCUAAUUAGUAACAUGAAUUCUAAAGUAUAAAAUUUAAUAAGCAGUGGUCUGUAGGGCGGUCCUUGAAGAAAUUUUAAUUUUCCCAGCCAAUGAGAAUGUAGCAUUAGGUUUUUCAGUAGAAAAACAACAAAAAAUGAAGCCUACCAUAAAUUUGUGAACGACAAAUGGUGAUGAGCCCAUCACGAAUUUGGUGUAUGUCUGUUCUCGGAAUUUGACGAUCAUGGCAGUGUGUAUUUUGUAAAGACAUCAAGGAGACCUUGGUCAUGUAAUGUGAUUGCAAUUCCCUUUCUCAUCAUCCAUCAAAUAAUAUGCAUGCCUUCUGUUUUUGUCAUUCAGUUAUAACCCUCAUAUACAGUGAUACAUGAAUAAUUUGAUAAACUACUCUUUAAUAAGUGCGGGUGGGUUGGCAAUAACCUGUUAAGGCAUAAGACUUACAACUUUUUAAUAAAAUAUUUUAACAGAGGAGAGAUUCUAAUGAUGGAAAUUGCUUUUUAGUCACAAUCCAUUGUAUGAAAUAUUACUCAAAUACAUGCCAGACAAAGAACUUUUAGCACCUCUUUGUAAGCUUACUGGAUGUCACCUUUGUGAAGUAACCAAGGGAGUCCUCUCUCGCCUGAUCUCUGAUUAAGAUUCGUCAUCACCCAGAGUAGCCAGCGAUCUACUGAAAACAGACGUGUCCUUGGAAAUGUGUCCCAUUUAAUGGUGGAUAGAGGAAUACCACCCAUAUUUUCCGUUUUUUUUUUUUUUUACUCCUUUUCUAACUAAGCAUGUUAAACUACAUCGUGUAAAAAGGCAUAUGAAAACAGAUUCUACAAAAUUUUUAUUUGAAAAUAAUUCAUGGAAAAGAUAGGAUACUUAUUUCAUAUACUCAAAAACUCCAUAGUAAUUUGUUAAAGUAUAUUUAGUGGGAAUAAUUUGUUUAAGUGUUAUAUAUUUAAUGAGGCCUCCAUCUGUAUAGCGCCUUUGUGCAAGCUGCUUUUUCGUCAGCUCCAUGGUCAUGAUUUUCCUCCUCAGUGUAAUUUUAACAAGGUGAUACUUAGGACAUUCAACUUGCUGAGCAUAAGACCCUCAAAAGCUUCGCCUAUCUCUCCUUCUCUGAAGUACCACUGGUUAUUCUAAACUAGGGGGAAAACAAAAACAAAAACAAAAAAAGAACUAACAAGACUAGAAUAGGUUAAUGCUCUACAGGAUUCAUUUUCCUUUUGUUCUGAGCUAAUUGCUAUGAGGUGUAAAAUCACACGCAAAAGGAACAUAUUCUAAAUGUUGAUAUUUAAGAUGCAGAAUUAGAUUAUAUUUUUAUAUUUUCACUUAUGAAAUGUCUUCUCUGUUUAGACAAGUUUACAAAAGUGAACCUACUUAUAAACACAUGUGUAAAUACAUAAUAUCACAAACUUAUACUUCUAUAUGAAAUAUCAAGAUUUCUUUUUUUUUCUAAAGAUUUUAUUUAUUUAUUCAUGAGAGACACAGAGAGAGGCAGAGACACAGGCAGAGGGAGAGGCAGGCUCCCUGCAGGGAGCCCGAUGAGGGACUUGAACUCAGGACCUUGGGGUCAUGGCCCAACGGCUGGCACCCAACCGUUGAGCCACUCAGGUAUCCCAAAAUAUCAAGAUUUCUUAAAAAAAAAAAAAAAACC